UCAGAAUCGGUAAAAGAGACAAAUAUAUAUUCCUAUGCCUUCAGGUCGAAACAUGACUGAGCCACUGUAGCCGACCGAGUCACUGUUGCCUCCUUGACCCUAUAGA
Molecule: long non-coding RNA, 106 nt
Organism: Ostrinia furnacalis (Asian corn borer)
Lineage: Eukaryota; Metazoa; Arthropoda; Insecta; Lepidoptera; Crambidae
Exons: 3
Source: RefSeq, a predicted model, not a curated record